GAACGAGUCAAAAAAUAACAUCGUCCGAUCCCUAGUCGGCAUAGUUUAUGGUUAAGACUACGACGGUAUCUG
This 72-nucleotide ribosomal RNA is filed under the name Lanspora coronata. RNAcentral's name for it is "partial small subunit ribosomal RNA". Lineage: Eukaryota; Fungi; Ascomycota; Sordariomycetes; Phomatosporaceae. The record is from RNAcentral.